RNAcentral lists this long non-coding RNA (601 nucleotides) under Gossypium barbadense (sea-island cotton). Its description in RNAcentral is "long non-coding RNA (GBAR_LNC007954)". The record is from RNAcentral. Lineage: Eukaryota; Viridiplantae; Streptophyta; Magnoliopsida; Malvales; Malvaceae.
AACAAUCCUCGAUCCUUGAGUGAGAUUUUGGAGUUUUUGAUGAAGCUCCCUGUGGUAGUAGGAUAGAAUAAAUCUUCGCCGCAUCCCCGCCUUCAUUUUAGCCUAAGUGCGGAUCGGGGGCUCUCCAUUCCUUCUACGUCUUGUAGUUAAUUGGUCCCACCAUGUCAUCGUGUAGUCAGAGAAUUCAAUUGCUGCCAACAUGACCUUUUUGGUCUCGGAAUAAUUAUGGCACUCGAACACCAAUUCUAUUUUUUUCUCCCAUUCGAGACAAGCCUCUGGGUCGGAUUUGCCUUGAAAUGGCGGAAUAGACAUCUUGAUAUUCUUUAGGUCAUCGUCUACUCUCCCACGCUCCCUUUGGCCUCGGUGUCAUUGACCUUUCCUCCAGCCGCCUAUGUUAGAGCCUUGAUCACUUUCGGGCUCACUCAAUUCUGAUAUCUCAUCGUCUUGUUCUCGUCGAUGCCUCGAUUUCGCGGUGGACUCGAAAGAGUCCUCUCUCGUCGGCCUCUACCUUCCACGAGAUCAAGCCUUUCUUGAAUCGACUCUAACUUUCUAUCGAACAAGCGUUCAACCUCGCGUAGUAAGGCUUGUAAAUUUAAGUCCA